This 327-nucleotide ribosomal RNA is filed under the name Anelosimus lamarcki. Its description in RNAcentral is "partial 16S ribosomal RNA". The record is from RNAcentral. Lineage: Eukaryota; Metazoa; Arthropoda; Arachnida; Araneae; Theridiidae.
UUUGUUUUUUAAUUAAAAACUAGAAUGAAAGAUUUUACAUUUUAAUUUCUUUAUUAAAUAUAAUAUACUAACUUAUAUUAAAUAUAAAAAUAUAUUUAUAAAAUAAAAAGACGACAAGACCCUAUUAAAUUUUACUUAUUGUUUAGCUGGGGCAGCUUUUUAAAUAAAACUUUAAAAUUUAUAAUAUAAUAAUAUAUCUAUACUAAAAUUAAAAAAUCUAUUAUAAAUAAAUUAAUCUAAUUACUAUAGGGAUAACAGCGUUAUAUUUUUUUCAAGUUCAUAUUUAAAAAAAUCAUUGCGACCUCGAUGUUGAAUUAUAUUUCUUUA